UCCGGUUUGUCACCGGCGGUCUCCUUAGAGUUCCCAACUUAAUGAUGGCAACUAAGGACAAGGGUUGCGCUCGUUGCGGGACUUAACCCAACACCUCGCGGCACGAGCUGACGACAGCCAUGCAUCACCUGUGUUCCCGCCAGCCGAACUGAAGGGUCCCAUCUCUGGAACCCAUACGGGACAUGUCAAGGGCUGGUAAGGUUCUGCGCGUUGCUUCGAAUUGAACCACAUGCUCCACCGCUUGUGCGGGCCCCCGUCAAUUCCUUUGAGUUUUAAUCUUGCGACCGUACUCCCCAGGCGGAAUGCUUAAAGCGUUAGCUGCGCCACUAGUGAGUAAACCCACUAACGGCUGGCAUUCAUCGUUUACGGCGUGGACUAC
Molecule: unclassified non-coding RNA, 379 nt
Filed under: uncultured Alphaproteobacteria bacterium
Lineage: Bacteria; Pseudomonadati; Pseudomonadota; Alphaproteobacteria
Description: contains 16S-23S intergenic spacer region
Source: RNAcentral